CCCAUCAGACGGGAUGAGACACGGCCCAGACUCCUACGGGAGGCAGCAGUGGGGAAUUUUCCGCAAUGGGCGAAAGCCUGACGGAGCAGGCUAUAGGUACGCCGCGUGAGGGAGGAAGGCUCUCGUAGUGGGUUGUAAACCUCUUUUCUUAGGGAAUAAGAUAUGAAAAGCCAGGUACCUAAGGAAUAAGCAUCGAGCUAACUCCGUGCCGGAACCCAGCAGCCGCGGUAAUACGGAGGAUGCAAUGCGUUCGGAAUCCGGAAUGAUUGGGCGACGUAAAGCGUCCGCAGGUGGCCGUUACGAGUCAAGUCUGCUGAAUCAAAGAAUGAGGCUUAACCUUUA
RNAcentral lists this ribosomal RNA (342 nucleotides) under uncultured Cylindrospermum sp. Its description in RNAcentral is "bacterial SSU rRNA". It matches the Rfam family "Bacterial small subunit ribosomal RNA", at positions 304 to 618 of the family's 1533-position model. The record is from RNAcentral. Lineage: Bacteria; Bacillati; Cyanobacteriota; Cyanophyceae; Nostocales; Nostocaceae.